GGGCGGGUUUCGCCCGCCACCAGGACCACACCAUAAACCUUUUUUAUGCAGUUGCAAUCAGCGUCAGUAUAACAAAUGUAAAUCAUUUACAACUUUCAACAACGGAUCUCUUGGUUCUGGCAUCGAUGAAGAACGCAGCGAAAUGCGAUACGUAGUGUGAAUUGCAGAAUUCAGUGAAUCAUCGAAUCUUUGAACGCACAUUGCGCCCUUUGGUAUUCCAAAGGGCAUGCCUGUUCGAGCGUCAUUUGUACCUUCAAGCUUUGCUUGGUGUUGGGCGUCUUUUUGUCUUGGGCCUUUUGUGCCCUGAGACUCGCCUUAAAACGAUUGGCAGCCGGCCUACUGGUUUCGGAGCGCAGCACAUUUUUGCGCUUGCAAUCAGCAAAAGAGGCCAGCCAUCCAUCAAGACCAUUCUUCUCACUUUUGACCUCGGAUCAGGUAGGGAUACCCGCUGAACUUAAGCAUAUC
This 465-nucleotide ribosomal RNA is filed under the name Curvularia intermedia. RNAcentral describes it as "eukaryotic LSU rRNA". The stretch from base 91 to 244 matches the Rfam family "5.8S ribosomal RNA". The record is from RNAcentral. Lineage: Eukaryota; Fungi; Ascomycota; Dothideomycetes; Pleosporales; Pleosporaceae.